CUUACCAUGCAGUCGACGGCAGCACGGGAGCAAUCCUGGUGGCGAGUGGCGAACGGGUGAGUAAUACAUCGGAACGUGUCCUGGAGUGGGGGAUAGCCCGGCGAAAGCCGGAUUAAUACCGCAUACGCUCUGAGGAGGAAAGGGGGGGAUCUUAGGACCUCUCGCUCAAGGGGCGGCCGAUGGCAGAUUAGCUAGUUGGUGGGGUAAAGGCCUACCAAGGCGACGAUCUGUAGCUGGUCUGAGAGGACGACCAGCCACACUGGGACUGAGACACGGCCCAGACUCCUACGGGAGGCAGCAGUGGGGAAUUUUGGACAAUGGGCGCAAGCCUGAUCCAGCAAUGCCGCGUGUGUGAAGAAGGCCUUCGGGUUGUAAAGCACUUUUGUCCGGAAAGAAAACACGCCUGUUAAUACCGGGUGUGGAUGACGGUACCGGAAGAAUAAGCACCGGCUAACUACGUGCCAGCAGCCGCGGUAAUACGUAGGGUGCAAGCGUUAAUCGGAAUUACUGGGCGUAAAGCGUGCGCAGGCGGUUCGUUAAGACAGAUGUGAAAUCCCCGGGCUUAACCUGGGAACUGCAUUUGUGACUGGCGGACUCGAGUAUGGCAGAGGGGGGUAGAAUUCCACGUGUAGCAGUGAAAUGCGUAGAGAUGUGGAGGAAUACCGAUGGCGAAGGCAGCCCCCUGGGCCAAUACUGACGCUCAUGCACGAAAGCGUGGGGAGCAAACAGGAUUAGAUACCCUGGUAGUCCACGCCCUAAACGAUGUCAACUGGUUGUCGGGUCUUCAUUGACUUGGUAACGAAGCUAACGCGUGAAGUUGACCGCCUGGGGAGUACGGUCGCAAGAUUAAAUA
RNAcentral lists this ribosomal RNA (853 nucleotides) under Paraburkholderia caledonica. RNAcentral's name for it is "bacterial SSU rRNA". It matches the Rfam family "Bacterial small subunit ribosomal RNA", at positions 48 to 899 of the family's 1533-position model. Lineage: Bacteria; Pseudomonadati; Pseudomonadota; Betaproteobacteria; Burkholderiales; Burkholderiaceae. The record is from RNAcentral.